Long non-coding RNA from Megalobrama amblycephala (Wuchang bream), 844 nucleotides. RefSeq lists it as uncharacterized. The transcript has 4 exons. The record is from RefSeq and is a predicted model, not a curated record. Lineage: Eukaryota; Metazoa; Chordata; Actinopteri; Cypriniformes; Xenocyprididae.
ACCUUGAUCAAUCUCAAGAAACUUGGAAGAAGAAGGAAGACCGUUUCCCAUCCACCGAAUCCAAAUUCUUUUCUGUUCCACAUAAAAUACCUGCUCCCCAAAAAGAGGAUCAAGAAGGAUGUGGAAGUGGAAACUUCAAGUUCUGAUGCAUGUCAGCCUCCUGCAGAUGGACUCCAUGUAGAUGAACAGAUCCAGAUACUAUUGAAGAAGAAGGAACAUACAGAGCUGCUAGUUGUUGUAAUUGUUCAGUCUCCUAGCCAGGAUCUCGAGUUCCUUUUACAUCACAAGGAAUUCAAUGCACUGAGGCCACAUGAAUGGUUAUUUGGAGAGACUAUUGAGUGCUAUUUCAGAACUGUACUUAAUAAGGAGGAUGCAAAUCUCUACCAGCUAAGCCAUGACACCACAGGUGUCAUUUUAAAUGGCACAAGAGAGCAGAUGGAACAGCAAGGAUUUUGAAAAGUCAACUUAGAGCAAUAUGAUGGGGUCAUCACUUUUGUCAAUAUCACCAAAAAUCACUGGAGGUUUGUGGUAAGUAAAAGAGUGCUAAUUUCAAUGAUAAGCUACUACAUAUGCCCAUUUAGACAUGUUUGAUCUUUCAGUGACAUUUAUUUGCUAAUUUAUUUGUUUCUUUUUAUCCAAUUUAGUUUGUAUAUGCUCAGACUGACACCCUUUUCAUGCUUGACUCUCUGAGUGGUACAAAUGAAAUGAAAUGAAAAGGCAUGCCAAAAAUUCGGGUAUGAUAGUCUGUUUUAAAAAAGAUAUUUAGCAUGUGUAGAUCCAAAACAGUAAUAAUGGAAACUAAGCAAAGUUCAUGUUGUGUAAGACUACCAUAAUCACACACUGC